This 818-nucleotide ribosomal RNA is filed under the name uncultured Actinomycetes bacterium. RNAcentral's name for it is "bacterial SSU rRNA". It matches the Rfam family "Bacterial small subunit ribosomal RNA", at positions 335 to 1167 of the family's 1533-position model. The record is from RNAcentral. Lineage: Bacteria; Bacillati; Actinomycetota; Actinomycetes.
ACUCCUACGGGAGGCAGCAGUGGGGAAUAUUGCGCAAUGGGCGAAAGCCUGACGCAGCGACGCCGCGUGGGGGAUGAAGGCCUUCGGGUUGUAAACCCCUUUCAGCAGGGACGAAGCGAAAGUGACGGUACCUGCAGAAGAAGCGCCGGCUAACUACGUGCCAGCAGCCGCGGUAACACGUAGGGCGCAAGCGUUGUCCGGAAUUAUUGGGCGUAAAGAGCUCGUAGGCGGUCUGUUGCGUCCGCUGUGAAAACUCGGGGCUUAACCCCGAGCCUGCAGUGGAUACGGGCAGACUAGAGGUAGGUAGGGGAGAAUGGAAUUCCCGGUGUAGCGGUGAAAUGCGCAGAUAUCGGGAGGAACACCGGUGGCGAAGGCGGUUCUCUGGGCCUUACCUGACGCUGAGGAGCGAAAGCGUGGGGAGCGAACAGGAUUAGAUACCCUGGUAGUCCACGCCGUAAACGUUGGGCGCUAGGUGUGGGAUCCUUCCACGGAUUCCGUGCCGCAGCUAACGCAUUAAGCGCCCCGCCUGGGGAGUACGGCCGCAAGGCUAAAACUCAAAGGAAUUGACGGGGGCCCGCACAAGCGGCGGAGCAUGUUGCUUAAUUCGACGCAACGCGAAGAACCUUACCAAGGUUUGACAUGCAGGGAAAAGCCGUAGAGAUACGGUGUCCGUAAGGGUCCUGCACAGGUGGUGCAUAGCUGUCGUCAGCUCGUGUCGUGAGAUGUUGGGUUAAGUCCCGCAACGAGCGCAACCCUCGUCCUAUGUUGCCAGCGGGUAAUGCCGGGGACUCAUAGGAGACUGCCGGGGUCAACUCGGA